Molecule: ribosomal RNA, 664 nt
Filed under: Hasegawazyma lactosa
Lineage: Eukaryota; Fungi; Basidiomycota; Cystobasidiomycetes; Erythrobasidiales
Description: eukaryotic LSU rRNA
Rfam family: 5.8S ribosomal RNA (bases 191-344)
Source: RNAcentral
UCCGUAGGUGAACCUGCGGGAGGGUCAUUAAUGAAUUGCUAAGGGCGUUCUUUUUAGAAGUCCGACCCAACUUCAUUCUCACCCACACUGUGCACACACACACACACUUUACACCCACACCUUUAAAACUCGUAUAAAAAGUAGUACAAGAAUGUAAAAGUCUCUUAAUUGAGCAUAAACAAAUAAAUAAAACUUUCAGCAACGGGUCUCUUGGCUCUCGCAUCGAUGAAGAACGCAGCGAAAUGCGAUACGUAAUGUGAAUUGCAGAAUUCAGUGAAUCAUCGAAUCUUUGAACGCACCUUGCACUCUUUGGUAUUCCGAAGAGUAUGUCUGUUUGAGUGUCAUGAAACUCUCAACCCCCCCGUUUUGUAAUGAGACGGGCGUCUUGGGCUUGGGUUAUGGCCGCCUGCUGGCAUUGAUUUGCCGGCUCGGCUGAAAUACAUGAGCAACCCAGUGUUUUGAAAGACUGCUUUCUUAACGGCUUGACUCGGCGUAAUAGUUUAUUUCGCUGAGGGCGUUUUGAAUACGCGACUUUUCAAUCAUCAAGUGGGUGCUUCUAAUGCGCGGGGUCCCUUCUUUAAGGCCCCACACCUUUUAAGCUUUAGACCUCAAAUCAGUCAGGGCUACCCGCUGAACUUAAGCAUAUCAAUAAGCGGGGGGAAAG